UCCGGCUUAACGCCGGCAGUCUCCCUAGAGUGCUCAACUAAAUGGUAGCAACUAAGGACGGGGGUUGCGCUCGUUGCGGGACUUAACCCAACAUCUCUCGACACGAGCUGACGACAGCCAUGCAGCACCUGUCUCCGGUCCAGCCGAACUGAAGGACUCCGUCUCUGGAAUCCGCGACCGGGAUGUCAAGGGCUGGUAAGGUUCUUCGCGUUGCGUCGAAUUAAACCACAUGCUCCACCGCUUGUGCGGGCCCCCGUCAAUUCCUUUGAAUUUUAAUCUUGCGAUCGUACUCCCCAGGCGGAAUGCUUAAUGCGUUAGCUGCGCCACCGAAGAGCAAGCUCCCCAACGGCUGGCAUUCAUCGUUUACGGCGUGGACUAC
Molecule: unclassified non-coding RNA, 379 nt
Filed under: uncultured Alphaproteobacteria bacterium
Lineage: Bacteria; Pseudomonadati; Pseudomonadota; Alphaproteobacteria
Description: contains 16S-23S intergenic spacer region
Source: RNAcentral